UAUGCCGUCGCACACCUUGCACAUGCAUGCGAGCCUCCUCUGAAUUUAGUGACUAUAAUUUCUUUUCUUUUUUGGUCUUUAAGUGACUAGAAUUUCAACUUGUGAAUAAGCCUAGUUCAUUUGGCAAAACCUCUUAUGCAUUUAUGUCAUUCUCCUUAGACAUAAAGCUUCAAUAUUGCAUCUGAGUUAUGGUUUUUGGUUAUUAGGAUUUCUUUAACACAAAAUAAGAUUUCAAUUUCUAUUUUAUGUAGGGAUGAUGCAUAUCAUCGAAAGUCAGUAGCUGCUAGUUUAUAUUAGUAUGAAUCCAAAAAAGAUCCAUAUAAAUUUUACAUGAUAAAAUGAGGUUUAAAAGUCAAUUUUGUGAAACACUAGUAAAUUUUGCUUAUAUUAGGUUGUAACAAUUAGAGAAUGAAUCCAAAAAAGAUCCAUAUAAAUUUUACAUGAUAAAGUGAGGACUGAAAAGACAUUGUCAAAGUCAAUGUUAUUAGCAAUUCUCAUUUUAUGCACAAGUUGUCAAAGUAAAGUUUUACUAGUGAUCUAUAUUAAUUGCCAAGAACAAACAAACUAAUUGGUUUAUGUUUGGCAUAGGAAAGGAAGCUCCAUUUAAUUGUUCACCUUAAUAUUUCCAUUUCCAUU
RNAcentral lists this long non-coding RNA (636 nucleotides) under Trifolium pratense (red clover). Its description in RNAcentral is "long non-coding RNA (TPRA_LNC009092)". The record is from RNAcentral. Lineage: Eukaryota; Viridiplantae; Streptophyta; Magnoliopsida; Fabales; Fabaceae.